This 439-nucleotide ribosomal RNA is filed under the name uncultured bacterium. RNAcentral describes it as "partial 16S ribosomal RNA". It matches the Rfam family "Bacterial small subunit ribosomal RNA", at positions 338 to 794 of the family's 1533-position model. The record is from RNAcentral.
CCUACGGGCGGCAGCAGUGGGGAAUAUUGCACAAUGGGGGAAACCCUGAUGCAGCGACGCCGCGUGAGCGAUGAAGGAUUUCGGUAUGUACAGCUCUAUCAGCAGGGAAGAAAAUGACGGUACUUGAGUAAGAAGCCCCGGCUAACUACGUGCCAGCAGCCGCGGUAAUACGUAUGGGGCAAGCGUUAUCCGGAUUUACUGGGCGUAAAGGGAGCGUAGGCGGCCUGCCAAGUCUGAGGUGAAAUACCGGGGCUCAACCCCGGGGAGGCAUUGGAAACUGGCAGGCUGGAGGGAGGAAGGGGCAGGCGGAAUUCCUAGUGUGGCGGUGAAAUGGGUAGAUAUUAGGAGGAAAACCAGUGGCGAAGGCGGCCUGCUGGACGGUGACUGACGCUGAGGCUCGAAAGCGUGGGGAGCAAACAGGAUUAGAUACCCCAGUAGC